This 253-nucleotide ribosomal RNA is filed under the name uncultured bacterium. Its description in RNAcentral is "partial 16S ribosomal RNA". It matches the Rfam family "Bacterial small subunit ribosomal RNA", at positions 524 to 776 of the family's 1533-position model. The record is from RNAcentral.
UACGUAGGGUGCAAGCGUUGUUCGGAAUUACUGGGCGUAAAGGGCUCGUAGGUGGCCAACUAAGUCAGACGUGAAAUCCCUCGGCUUAACCGGGGAACUGCGUCUGAUACUGGAUGGCUUGAGUGUGGGAGAGGGAUGCGGAAUUCCAGGUGUAGCGGUGAAAUGCGUAGAUAUCUGGAGGAACACCGGUGGCGAAGGCGGCAUCCUGGACCAUUACUGACACUGAAUAGCGAAAGCCAGGGGAGCAAACGGG